This 89-nucleotide non-coding RNA is filed under the name Methylocaldum szegediense. The record is from RNAcentral. Lineage: Bacteria; Pseudomonadati; Pseudomonadota; Gammaproteobacteria; Methylococcales; Methylococcaceae.
GUCUAUGGCGGGCGGCGCAUGGGCAGGUUUCGGCCUGGCCGGUGUCCUUGAGAGCCGGUUUUCCACCCCGUGUGUCGUUCGCCGCCUCA